RNAcentral lists this ribosomal RNA (1372 nucleotides) under uncultured bacterium. Its description in RNAcentral is "bacterial SSU rRNA". It matches the Rfam family "Bacterial small subunit ribosomal RNA", at positions 28 to 1381 of the family's 1533-position model. The record is from RNAcentral.
GAUGAACGCUGGCGGCGUGCCUAAUACAUGCAAGUCGAGCGAACGGACGAGAAGCUUGCUUUUCUGAUGUUAGCGGCGGACGGGUGAGUAACACGUGGAUAACCUACCUAUAAGACUGGGAUAACUUCGGGAAACCGGAGCUAAUACCGGAUAAUAUUUUGAACCGCAUGGUUCAAAAGUGAAAGACGGUCUUGCUGUCACUUAUAGAUGGAUCCGCGCUGCAUUAGCUAGUUGGUAAGGUAACGGCUUACCAAGGCAACGAUGCAUAGCCGACCUGAGAGGGUGAUCGGCCACACUGGAACUGAGACACGGUCCAGACUCCUACGGGAGGCAGCAGUAGGGAAUCUUCCGCAAUGGGCGAAAGCCUGACGGAGCAACGCCGCGUGAGUGAUGAAGGUCUUCGGAUCGUAAAACUCUGUUAUUAGGGAAGAACAUAUGUGUAAGUAACUGUGCACAUCUUGACGGUACCUAAUCAGAAAGCCACGGCUAACUACGUGCCAGCAGCCGCGGUAAUACGUAGGUGGCAAGCGUUAUCCGGAAUUAUUGGGCGUAAAGCGCGCGUAGGCGGUUUUUUAAGUCUGAUGUGAAAGCCCACGGCUCAACCGUGGAGGGUCAUUGGAAACUGGAAAACUUGAGUGCAGAAGAGGAAAGUGGAAUUCCAUGUGUAGCGGUGAAAUGCGCAGAGAUGUGGAGGAACACCAGUGGCGAAGGCGACUUUCUGGUCUGUAACUGACGUUGAUGUGCGAAAGCGUGGGGAUCAAACAGGAUUAGAUACCCUGGUAGUCCACGCCGUAAACGAUGAGUGCUAAGUGUUAGGGGGUUUCCGCCCCUUAGUGCUGCAGCUAACGCAUUAAGCACUCCGCCUGGGGAGUACGACCGCAAGGUUGAAACUCAAAGGAAUUGACGGGGGCCCGCACAAGCGGUGGAGCAUGUGGUUUAAUUCGAAGCAACGCGAAGAACCUUACCAAAUCUUGACAUCCUUUGACAACUCUAGAGAUAGAGCCUUCCCCUUCGGGGGACAAAGUGACAGGUGGUGCAUGGUUGUCGUCAGCUCGUGUCGUGAGAUGUUGGGUUAAGUCCCGCAACGAGCGCAACCCUUAAGCUUAGUUGCCAUCAUUAAGUUGGGCACUCUAAGUUGACUGCCGGUGACAAACCGGAGGAAGGUGGGGAUGGCGUCAAAUCAUCAUGCCCCUUAUGAUUUGGGCUACACACGUGCUACAAUGGACAAUACAAAGGGCAGCGAAACCGCGAGGUCAAGCAAAUCCCAUAAAGUUGUUCUCAGUUCGGAUUGUAGUCUGCAACUCGACUACAUGAAGCUGGAAUCGCUAGUAAUCGUAGAUCAGCAUGCUGCGGUGAAUACGUUCCCGGGUCU